AAAAACUCCGGUGGUAUGAGAUGGACCCGCGUCUGAUUAGCUGGUUGGCGGGGUAACGGCCCACCAAGGCGACGAUCAGUAGCCGACCUGAGAGGGUGGCCGGCCACAUUGGGACUGAGACACGGCCCAAACUCCUACGGGAGGCAGCAGUGGGGAAUAUUGCACAAUGGGGGAAACCCUGAUGCAGCAACGCCGCGUGAGUGAAGAAGUAUUUCGGUAUGUAAAGCUCUAUCAGCAGGGAAGAAAAAAGACGGUACCUGACUAAGAAGCCCCGGCUAACUACGUGCCAGCAGCCGCGGUAAUACGUAGGGGGCAAGCGUUAUCCGGAUUUACUGGGUGUAAAGGGAGCGUAGACGGCAUAGCAAGUCUGAAGUGAAAGCCCGUGGCUCAACCGCGGAACUGCUUUGGAAACUGUUAAGCUGGAGUACUGGAGAGGCAAGCGGAAUUCCUAGUGUAGCGGUGAAAUGCGUAGAUAUUAGGAGGAACACCAGUGGCGAAGGCGGCUUGCUGGACAGAGACUGACGUUGAGGCUCGAAAGCGUGGGGAGCAAACAGGAUUAGAUACCCUGGUAGUCCACGCGGUAAACGAUGAAUGCUAGGUGUUGGCGGGCAAAGCCCGUCG
This 621-nucleotide ribosomal RNA is filed under the name uncultured bacterium. RNAcentral describes it as "bacterial SSU rRNA". It matches the Rfam family "Bacterial small subunit ribosomal RNA", at positions 202 to 842 of the family's 1533-position model. The record is from RNAcentral.